GACGGUCUUGCUGUCACUUAUAGAUGGAUCCGCGCUGCAUUAGCUAGUUGGUAAGGUAACGGCUUACCAAGGCAACGAUGCAUAGCCGACCUGAGAGGGUGAUCGGCCACACUGGAACUGAGACACGGUCCAGACUCCUACGGGAGGCAGCAGUAGGGAAUCUUCCGCAAUGGGCGAAAGCCUGACGGAGCAACGCCGCGUGAGUGAUGAAGGUCUUCGGAUCGUAAAACUCUGUUAUUAGGGAAGAACAUAUGUGUAAGUAACUGUGCACAUCUUGACGGUACCUAAUCAGAAAGCCACGGCUAACUACGUGCCAGCAGCCGCGGUAAUACGUAGGUGGCAAGCGUUAUCCGGAAUUAUUGGGCGUAAAGCGCGCGUAGGCGGUUUUUUAAGUCUGAUGUGAAAGCCCACGGCUCAACCGUGGAGGGUCAUUGGAAACUGGAAAACUUGAGUGCAGAAGAGGAAAGUGGAAUUCCAUGUGUAGCGGUGAAAUGCGCAGAGAUAUGGAGGAACACCAGUGGCGAAGGCGACUUUCUGGUCUGUAACUGACGCUGAUGUGCGAAAGCGUGGGGAUCAAACA
RNAcentral lists this ribosomal RNA (580 nucleotides) under Staphylococcus aureus. RNAcentral's name for it is "bacterial SSU rRNA". It matches the Rfam family "Bacterial small subunit ribosomal RNA", at positions 202 to 774 of the family's 1533-position model. The record is from RNAcentral. Lineage: Bacteria; Bacillati; Bacillota; Bacilli; Caryophanales; Staphylococcaceae.